RNAcentral lists this ribosomal RNA (649 nucleotides) under uncultured bacterium. RNAcentral's name for it is "bacterial SSU rRNA". It matches the Rfam family "Bacterial small subunit ribosomal RNA", at positions 8 to 675 of the family's 1533-position model. The record is from RNAcentral.
AGGGUUUGAUCAUGGCUCAGGACGAACGCUGGCGGCAUGCCUAACACAUGCAAGUCGAACGAGAAAGUUCCUUCGGGAGCGAUUAAAGUGGCGCACGGGUGAGUAACGCGUAGACAAUCUGCCCUUCAGUCUGGGACAACUUUUCGAAAGGAGAGCUAAUACCGGAUAACAAUGCAUGACACAAGUUGUAUAUUUGAAAGCUUUAUGUGCUGAAGGAGGGGUCUGCGUCCCAUUAGCUAGUUGGUAAGGUAAAGGCUUACCAAGGCAACGAUGGGUAGCGGGUUUGAGAGGACGAUCCGCCACACUGGAACUGAGACACGGUCCAGACUCCUACGGGAGGCAGCAGUGGGGAAUAUUGCACAAUGGAGGCAACUCUGAUGCAGCAAUGUCGCGUGAGUGAAGAAGGCCCUUGGGUCGUAAAGCUCUUUUAUGGGGGAAGAUGAUGACGGUACCCCAAGAAUAAGCACCGGCUAACUAUGUGCCAGCAGCCGCGGUAAUACAUAGGGUGCGAGCGUUGUUCGGAAUUACUGGGCGUAAAGGGCGCGCAGGCGGAAUAGUAAGUCGGAGGUGAAAGCCCGGGGCUCAACCCCGGAGGGUCUUUCGAAACUGCUAAUCUAGAGAGGGUCAGGGGCCGGCAGAAUUCCUGGUG